AAGUCGUAACAAGGUUUCCGUAGGUGAACCUGCGGAAGGAUCAUUAUCACGUAUCCACGUUAUCAACCAUCGUGAACUGUUCUACCUCCAGUUGAUGCGGUGAGUGGAUUUCAAAAAGACUUUAGACAAUUUAAGGAGCUUUUAGUUGUGUAAUUUUGAGCUCUGGUCUCUUGUUCGAUUUGAAAUUCCUCGAGUUAUGUCGUACUGCAUUGAUUGGAGCGUAUUUUCAAAAUUUGCACUAUCAUUAACAAUUUGAACAACAACUCUGAUCAUCGAACUGAAUUGAUUUCUUACUCUUUGAUUUUUCAGAGAGAAGAAAUAAAAUUUACGAAACAAAGAACAACUCUUAGCAACGGAUAUCUUGGUUCUC
Molecule: unclassified non-coding RNA, 370 nt
Filed under: fungal sp.
Lineage: Eukaryota; Fungi
Description: partial internal transcribed spacer region
Rfam family: Eukaryotic small subunit ribosomal RNA (bases 1-46)
Source: RNAcentral